UACGAGGGGUGCAAGCGUUACUCGGAAUUAUUGGGCGUAAAGAGCUCGUAGGCGGUCUGUCGCGUCUGCUGUGAAAACUCAGGGCUUAACCCUGAGCUUGCAGUGGGUACGGGCAGACUAGAGUGCGGUAGGGGAGACUGGAAUUCCUGGUGUAGCGGUGAAAUGCGCAGAUAUCAGGAGGAACACCGGUGGCGAAGGCGGGUCUCUGGGCCGUAACUGACGCUGAGGAGCGAAAGCAUGGGGAGCGAACAGG
Molecule: ribosomal RNA, 253 nt
Filed under: uncultured bacterium
Lineage: Bacteria
Description: partial 16S ribosomal RNA
Rfam family: Bacterial small subunit ribosomal RNA
Source: RNAcentral